CCAAUAGCGUAUAUUAAAGUUGUUGCAGUUAAAAAGCUCGUAGUUGAACUUCGGGGUUCACCCAUUGGUCAGGCUUAAUUGUCUGUACUGGUGAGAUGAGUCUCUACCUUCUGAGGAACUUUCAUGCCAUUUAUUUGGUGUGAUUGGAAAUCAGGACUGUUACUUUGAAAAAAUUAGAGUGUUUAAAGCAGGCUAACGUCUGAAUACAUUAGCAUGGAAUAAUGAAAUAGGACGGAUUGAUUCUAUUUCGUUGGUUUCUAGGAUCACCGUAAUGAUUAAUAGGGAUAGUUGGGGGCAUUAGUAUUCAAUUGUCAGAGGUGAAAAUCUUGGAUUUAUUGAAGACUAACUACUGCGAAAGCAUUCGCCAAGGAUGUUUUCAUUAAUCAAGAACGAAAGUUAGGGGAUCGAAGACGAUCAGAUACCGUCGUAGUCUUAACCAUAAACUAUGCCGACUAGGGAUCGGACGCAGUUAACUUUAUAAUGACGUGUUCGGCACCUUACG
This 502-nucleotide ribosomal RNA is filed under the name uncultured Glomeromycotina. RNAcentral describes it as "partial small subunit ribosomal RNA". It matches the Rfam family "Eukaryotic small subunit ribosomal RNA", at positions 591 to 1092 of the family's 1831-position model. Lineage: Eukaryota; Fungi; Glomeromycota. The record is from RNAcentral.